This 493-nucleotide ribosomal RNA is filed under the name Anasaitis sp. Peblique. Its description in RNAcentral is "partial 16S ribosomal RNA". The stretch from base 99 to 398 matches the Rfam family "Archaeal large subunit ribosomal RNA", at positions 2151 to 2715 of the family's 2987-position model. The record is from RNAcentral. Lineage: Eukaryota; Metazoa; Arthropoda; Arachnida; Araneae; Salticidae.
UUUUAAAUAAAGACUAGAACAAAAGAUUUAACAUUUAAAAUUAUUUAUUUAAUUUAACUAUUAAAACUAUACUAAGUAUCAAAAUAUACUUAUUCAAAAGAAAGACGACAAGACCCUGUUGAACUUAACUUCAGUUUUAUACUGGGGCAGUUAAUUAAUUAUUAUUUUAAUCUUAUUAUUCAAAUAAAUAUCUAAAAUACUUAAAUUAUCCAGUUACCACAGGGAUAACAGCGCAAUUAUAUUUCUAAAGCUCUUAUACAAAAAAUAGAUUACGACCUCGAUGUUGAAUUAAUUACCUAAUUAAAGCAAAUUUUAAAAAAGGAAGUCUGUUCGACUUUUAAAUAUAUUACAUGAUUUGAGUUCAGACCGGCGUUAAGCCAGGUCGGUUUCUAUCUUCUUAAAACUUUUUUACAGUACGAAAGGACCUAAAAAUAUAAUAUAAUUAUUAUAUUGGCAGAACAAUGCAUUAGAAUUAGAAUCUAAUAAACUCAAU